AACGGAAGUGGCUAGCGUUGUCCGAAAUCACUGGGCGUAAAGCGGGCGUAGGCGGGUUACUAAGUUGGAUGUGAAAACCAGCUGCUCAACGGUUGGCCUGCAUUCAAAACUAGUUACCUUGAGUCUGACAGAGGGGAGCGGAACUUCUGGUGUAGCGGUGGAAUGCGUAGAUAUCAGAAGGAACACCAAAGGCGAAGGCAGCUCUCUGGGUCAAGACUGACGCUGAGGUCCGAAAGCUAGGGGAGCAAACGGGAUUAGAUACCCCCGUA
This 269-nucleotide ribosomal RNA is filed under the name uncultured prokaryote. RNAcentral's name for it is "partial 16S ribosomal RNA". It matches the Rfam family "Bacterial small subunit ribosomal RNA", at positions 524 to 792 of the family's 1533-position model. The record is from RNAcentral.